GCUACCACAACAAUCCGCAGGAUUGGGUGCAAUUCCAGGUAAUUGCAAGACUAAACACCAUGUCUAAUCUAUUAAUUACUACUCUAAUGUUUCAAAGAUUAGAGCACUUGAUGCAAGCGGGAAUCCAAUAAAUAACUUAAAUGUAAAUAAAAGUAAUUAGAGAACUCAGGAAUUAUAAAUUGAAGAACCUGGAGAACGACGAAGAACGAACCAGUUGCUGCAAAAGUACAAUGUUGAGGAAGAUCCGAUAGAUCCGGCUCCUCUUCCUCCGCUCUCCUCUUCUCUCUCCCUAUUUUCUAGAUUACAACUAGAACUAACUAGAACUAGAACUAGAGGAACUAGAACUAGAACUAGAUGAACUAGAACUAGAUCUAGAUGAACUAGAGGUAGAACUAGAAGAGCUAGAGGGAUCAUCUCUACUCGGAUGAAGAAUUGAAACCCUAACUUUGAUUCUGUAGAAGAGGUAUGAUCUCCAGGGGCCAGGGGGUCUGGUUUUAUACUCCCUUCAGAUGAAUCUGGGCCGUCGGAUCAAACGACAUUAAUCGUACGGUUUCCUUGAUCCUUUAGGUCGGUGGAGUGUGAUCCCCGAAUUGGACUCUGAUUGGGCACUCUAGUAGGGCGGGCGCCCUCAGGACUAGGGCAGGCGCCCUGUCCCUGAGCCCUCUCGGCCUUCGCUUCGGUCCCGUGGCUUCCGGAGUCUUCUAGAUGAUAGAAAAUUGCACGGCACGUUAAUAUCUCUAUGUAAACACGACGUGUGGGCCUUUCUUCCGUAUUUUCUGAUAACCCCCUGCAGAAAUAGACAAACACCAAAACUCGUGGAAUUUUGUCAGAUAAAACUCUAAGUCUAGGCGUUAGUUGCAUUUGGAUCUUUUUCCAUGAUUAGUUGAUGGUUAAAUGUGAGCAUUAAGGACCGUCAACACUAGCUUUCAACCUAGAGAUCAGACUUUCAUUUGUGCACAUAUACAGGGUUGGGCUGAAAUGAAUUUUUUGCAGGUACACUAACAACAAAAUGUGUAGAAAGAUUAGUUUUGUAUAAUGAGAGCACGUAUGUAAGCCACCAUUUAUACCGCUAGAAUUAUUCUUUUUCUAUGGGUUGUGAGGACGUACGAACCGUGCAUGCAUCAUGAAUCAUUCAUGCAUUUCUUUAUGCACUACUCCAUUCUUAUAAUUCUAAAAGUUGUAAUUAAAUAUCUUCUCUUGUAAGUAAUCCUCCCUUACUCAAAUUGUGGUCUUUUACUAUAGAUGGCAACCCCAUAUGAGAAUGAAACUUUACUGGACAUGUUUGGCACUCCUACUUUGCUGUGGAGGGUGCUAAGCUCUGUGGGAUAUGAAGAACCACCCAAGUACACCUUGAAUGAGGUGGAGAAUGAGGGACCAUUGCCCUAGGUGAAUGUUAAAAUCACAGUCCCUGCUUGUCGAAAUAACCCACAAUGGCUAGGUUGGAUAGUGGAGUCUGAUGGGCAAACACCUUGGGAGGGCGCUCAGGUAGCAGCCCUAGAGGUGUUGUUGGAGAUUUGUCAAGAGUUUGGUGAUGAGCUUGUUAAUGGGCCAGCAGGAACCAUUCCUAGAGUGAACCCAACAGAUACCUUUGUGUCACAAAUAGGGAAUGAGCCCAUAGAUAUGAGAGAAGCGGUGCUGGGGUACAGUACUAGCCCUACCAUUAGUGCCAAGCUGGCGGUGCUUAGGCUGUACUAUGUGCACCAGGAUGCCUAUGUAGAGGCUAUGCUAGCACUUCAGCGAGCCCAAGUUGGGCAACACAAGCUACGGAGGCAUAUGCGCAAGCACCGCAAAGCAUUUAGGGAUGCACAAGUUGAAAUCCAACAUUAUCACACCGCCCUGCAAGCCCACCGCAAUCUGGUUGAAAAUGCAAUUAGAGAGCGCAAUGUGGCGCAAGCACGCAUGAUGCAAAUGACUAGAGAGUGAGAUGAGGCUAUGCGCUUGGCUGAAAAUAGAGAGGCUGCUAGAGUUAGAGCCCUGUUCUAGGCUGAACUUAGAGAGCAGGAGUUAAUCCACCAAAUUGCUGAGCUGCAGCUAGAUGUGCAUCGUCUUAAUAAUGUAAUAAAUCCUAUACCACAACCUGUCCCAACUGAUCCUGAGGAUGAGCCUAGUGAAGAAGAAUAGGAUGAUGGUAUGGUCUCUAAUGAAGAAUCUGAGGAAGACCUAUAGCUUGGCUAUGGUUCUCACUUUUAUGUACUAGUUCCUAUUUCCCUUUGUGUACCAGACAUGUAAUCUGAAAUUCAGUUGGAACUCUAAGUAUUAUUUAGCUUUUGAUGUCCUCUAUGCAAGACUUAAGUUGUGGCAAUGGCCAUGUGUAACCAUUUGAACUUGUAUGUGAUGCUCCAUGUCUAUGUUGAGCUGAAGUAAUGGUUACAUGGUGUCUUUUCUCCCUGAUGAAACUUUGUGGUCAUAAACGAUUGUGAGAAUGUAACCAGUAACGUAUGGAUGAUGUUGAUUGUGUGAAUGAAUUAUUGUGCAUUUCAUUAUAUGGAUUUAUCUUCAGUAAAUUCCGUAUGGCAUCAAUGAGGUUCAUCGACAAUUAUUUUUGUUAUCCUAAAUGAUUACUUGGUGUGCCUUGUGUAGAUGGCUUGCAAUACUCGUUCUGGCAACAAUGAGGUGCCGCCACCACCACCUCCUCCCCCGGCUACGCCUGCCGAACUCUUGGCAACACUUGUUGAGGGUCAGCAGAUGUUGAAUAAGACCAUGCAUACUAUGGCGUAGCAGAACCGUGGUGGUCGCAAUGCCCACCAAGGUGGAGAGCCAAAUCAAUAUAGUGACUUCAAGGACAUCCAGGAUACUAGGCCGCCGGUUUUCAAGGAGGCCUCUAAAUCUAUAGAAGUUGAUGAAUGGCUCAAUACUCUUGAGCAGAAGUUCCGCUUGCUGAGGGUGGCUGAAGAAACAAAGGCUGAAUAUGUAGCACACUAGUUGUAGGGGUCGGUUGGUAUUUGGUGCAAUCACUAUAGGUCCACCUUGCCCGCUAAUGCCACAGUGACUCAGGAUUGAUUCAAUACUACUUUCAGGGAUACUUACAUUCCUCCAGGCUUAAUGGCCAUCAAGCAUAAUGAGUUCAUGAAUCUGACUCAAGGCACUAGAGCUUGACUAAGUAUCUUCAUGCUUUCAAUAACCUAUCUCGCUAUGCCACUAAGUUUGUGGACACUGAAGCCAAGAAGCUUGCUAGUUUCAAAAGGGGCCUUGGCCCCAAGCUAAUGAAGAACAUGGCCAACAAUAAGAGCACCACUUCUAAUGAGUUUGUGAGUGAUGCCAUGACCCAAGAGAAUUCAAAUUCUGUCUAUGCUGCUUCCAAGAACCGCAAGAGAGCUUAUGAAGCUGGUGCCUCGCAAUCUACGGCUCCUGUCGUAGCCAACUCGGCCUAUCAUCCGCCCAAUGCUAUGACACGAUACAAGCCACCUCAGAAGAAGAACAAUGUGAAGACUAGGGUUCACAAAGCUAUCACUGUUGCUCUUCCUAGGGGCGCCACAGGUCAAGGGAGCUCAAAUACUCCCCCUGCUAAUUGUCCCUACUUCAACUACAAGCAAGUUGGCCAUUGGGUGAGUGAUUACCCUUACCCUAAGUAGAAUCCUACCGCAGCUGGGGGGCAAUGUACGUCUCAGCUGUGUGCACUAUACCACCAUCAAAGAAAUCCCUGCUAGAGAAGUGGUUACUGCUGGUAUGUUUCUUGUCAACCAACACCCUGCAGUUGUCUUGAUUGAUUCUGGAGCUUCACAUUCUUUCAUGAGUCAAGGAUUUGCAUCUAAGCAUGGGUAGAAGAUAGUGGAUAUUGACAAGGGUAAAUUUUGUAUUAGUGCUGCUGGUAAUCAAAUCUCUACCAACCAAGUAGUGAGAAAUGUGCACCUCACUAUUGAAGGGAGGGAUUAUUCAGUAGAUCUUGUAAUUUUGUCGAGCUUGGGAAUAGAUGUUAUUCUGGGUAUGAACUGGAUGUGUGGCCAUGGUGCAUUGAUAGAUACCUCAACAAGGGUGAUCAUGUUGAGAGAACCUAAUAGUAAGGAGGCUUUCUUAGUCCAACUUCUUAUGGAUGUUGACAUCCGGAACACUACCAAUGCCGUACGACCACUCACUGUAGUAGAUAUUCCUGUAGUGUGUGAACUCUCAGAUGUUUUUCCAGAGUAUCUGCCUGGAUUGCCUUUGGACAGAGACAUAGAGUUUAAAAUUUAUCUAAUUCCAGGCACCACACCUAUCUCUAGAAGGCCAUAUGAAUGCCACCCAAUGAACUAGCAGAACUAAAAAAGCAAAUGCAAGAACUCCUGGAGAAGGGUCUUAUUCGGCCUAGCUCUUCUCCAUGGUGUUGUUCGGAUCUUUUUGUCAAGAAGGAUAAGUCUCUCCAUAUGUGUGUAUACUAUUGCACGCUUAAUGCUGUGAUCAUCAAGAACAAGUAUCCCCUGCCUCGCAUUGACAUUCUGUUUGACCAAUUAGCAAAAGCCAAGGUAUUUUCAAAAAUUGAUUUGAGAUCUGGGUAUCAUCAAAUCAAGAUUCAACCCGAAGAUGUCCCUAACUACCAGAUAUAGGUUGUAUGAGUACUUAGUCAUGUCCUUUGGUCUAACUAAUGCACCUGCACACUUCAUGUACCUAAUGAAUUUGGUGUUCAUGCCUGAACUAGAUAAGUUUGUGGUGGUGUUCAUCGAUGAUAUAUUGGUCUAUUCUGAAAGUGCCCAAGACCAUGAGAAGCACCUUCGAAUUGUACUCAAUAGGUUGUGGUAACAUCAGCUUGAUGCCAAGUUCAGCAAAUGUGAGUUCUGGCUGAAGAAAGUGCCUUUUCUAGGACAUAUCUUGUCCGAGGAUGGAAUCUCUGUUGACCCCUCCAAAGUGCGAGACGUCCUAGAUUGGAAUGCCCCGACUUCGGUGCAUGGGGUUCAGAGUUUUCUUGGUUUAGUAGGUUAUUAUCAUCGCUUCAUCCCUAACUCAAGAUAGCUAAACCUAUGACCAAGCUACUGGAAAAGACGAGAAAUUUGUGUGGUCUUAGGAGUGUGAAGCUGCUUUUAAUGCUUUACGCCACUAGUUAUUAUUGUCGCUUCAUCCCUGACUCCUCUAAGAUAGCUAAACCUAUGACCAAGCUACUGCAAAAAGACAAGAAAUUUGUGUGGUCUUAGGAGUGUGAAGCUGCUUUUAAUGAUUUACACCACUUGUUAACCACUGCUCCUAUUUUAGCGCAACCAGAUAUUGAAAAGCCAUUUGAUGUCUUCUGCGAUACCUCUGGCACCGGUUUGGGUUGUGUUCUCAUGCAAGAAGGCUAAGUCAUUGCUUAUGCCUCUCGACAACUGAGGAAACAUGAGGUCAACUACACCACCCAAGAUUUGGAGCUAGCGGCAGUUGUUCAUGCGUUGAAACUCUAGAGACAUUACUUGCUAGGCAACUUGUGUCACAUUUAUACUGACCAUAAAAGCCUCAAGUACAUCUUUACCUAGCCUGAGCUUAACAUGAGAAAAUGAAGAUGACUAGAGUUGAUUAAGGAUUAUAAUCUUGAAGUGCAUUAUCAUCUUGGUAAAGCAAAUUUCAUAGCAGAUGCCUUGAGCCAUAAACUGCAUGCUAAACCUCUGCUUGAAGAAGGCUUGCACCAUGUGGUCCUACAUAACAUCAUGGUUAGUUGUUCCCUAGAAAGCCAUAUCACAGAACUGCAAAAGACCAACCCCGGUAUCUUUCAUAUCAAAAGUAAGAUGAAAGAACAAGACACCAAGCAUUUCAGGGUAUAUGAGAAGGGUGUGUUGUGGUUUGAUGAUAGGCUUGUGGUACCCAAAGACUGUGAGCUUCAAAACAAAAUUUUAGAAGAAGCCCACUCAUCUAAACUGUCUAUUCAACCUGGCAGGAGUAAAAUGUAUUAGUGUAAGUGCAAUCAAGCCCUAGUUGUGGGUUUUGGUGAUAAUGACCACACAAUUAGAGGACUAAUGAGAUUUGUUGAGAUGGCAAGCAGGUAAAAUAAGAAUGAGGGUAACACAUGAUAUGUGAGAUGGCAAAAGCCCAAUUACCAAAUGAUGUGGUGAUGGACUCAAAGGCAUUUUAAUUAUUUAAUAUUUAUUCUUGAGUUUAGGCUAUGCCGCAUUAUAAAGGGGGAUGCAAAUUUAGUUGGUCUAAGGCAGAUAGAGUGCUCAAGUAUUAAAACUAGAUCAAAAGAGAGACACUCUAGCACUUCACGAGCACGUAGAAUAGUUUUUUAAGACUUGUGGGGUCGGAAGUCCCGAUGUGCGUCGGAACUGAUGACGCAUGUCGGAACUGAUGACGUUCGUCGGAAGUCCCGACACCUGGCCCUCUUGCUACCUCUGCUCGCGCUUGCGUCGGAAGUCCCGACGCGCGUCGGAACUGAUGACGCAUGUCGGAACUGAUGACGUUCGUCGGAAGUCCCGACACCUGGCCCUCUUGCUACCUCUGCUCGCGCUUGCGUCGGAAGUCCCGACGUACAUCGGAAGUGAUGACGUGUCGGAAGUGAUGACAUGUGUCAGAACUGAUGAUGCGUCGUAACUGAUGACGUGCGUCGGAACUGAUGACGUAGACUGGUUUUGUAUAGACUUCUGACCAAGUGAACAGUGUUUUUAGUAUAUGUCAAAAGUCCCGAGAUCCGCGUUGGAACUUCCGACGUAGAUCUGAACGGUUAGUUUUCAGCUUAUUGUAUAAAUAGCUUUCUCAACGUUUCUAACCGUUACAGACUUAUUCUAAGCAACUCACUCACGACCCCAAUAGCUCUCAAGCUCUCAAGGCUCUCCUCUCCUCUCCCCUUUGCUCCAAACUUCGAUUCCCCAAGGUUUUGAGUGAUAGGAGAGUAGAUUGAGUGAGAAAAUCAUCUAGCAAGCUUGAGCACUUGAGUUCUUCGUCAAGCCGGUUGGAUUUGCGUCUAUUACUCUUGGGUUCUUGGAACCCUAGCCGGCUAGGCAUCGCCCAAGAGCGCCCGAUCUGUGGGAUGACCUUGGGAAGUUUGUAUUACCCUUGAUUUUCUAGUGAAGAACUCAAGUUUACCUUUGUGGUUGCUUGAGAGAGGCAAGGAGGUGAAAGAGACUCCGACCUUAGUGGUCACCUCAACAACGAGGACGUACGCAAGCCUUAGUGGCAAGCCGAACCUCGAGAUAAAUCUUUGUGUCCCGUGUGCUUAUUGUUGUUGUGAUUACUUGAGAUUACUUGUUCUUUGUUUUCUCUUUCUCUCUCAAGCCAUUUCUUAGGUUUUGGUGCCGAUCUACAAAUUGGUGGCAGUUCAAGGUCAAGGAAGCACUUGGAUUACUUCAUCUUACCACUAGAAAGUGGGGUUGUAAGUUAUUGCCUUCACAAAGUUUAUUUAGGCACUUGUAGUUCAUUUCCCGUAGGCGUCGGAACUUCUGACGGUUUGCGUCGGAACUUCUGACAGUUUGCGUUGGAACUUCUGACAAUUUGCGUCAGAAGUUUUGACCUGAACUGUCAUAACUUCUGACAGUUGCUGACAAGUGACUUUGAGUUGUGUAGAAAAUUAGUAGAUACGCCUAUUCACCCCCCCUCUAGGCUUACCAAGGAUCCUUAUAAGUGGUAUCAGAGCCGGUUACCUCGUGUGCGCUUCACCGCGUGAGGUAUGGAGCCCGGAGGAGGAUCGGGCGGUGCAAAGUCUACGGAAGUCCGUCUAGAGGAAAUGGGCUUGCAUGACACUGACACUGAUAGCAGCCAACUCAGUGUGUCGACAGCAAGUAAUACCACACUUCCUCAUCUCGAACCUACCGAUGGUGAAAGGGCUCUCAAUGAAGAAGAGAAGAGAAAGAGAAAAGAAGCAAUAAUGCUCAAAAGAGAAGCAAGAGAAAAGAAGAAAGAGCGACAACGAUUAGAUGAGAAGAAGGCAAGAAAAGAAGCUAGAAGGCUCAAAAGAGAAGAAAGAAGAAAGAGAAGGGAAGCUAGGAAGAAGAAAGAAGAAGCCAAAGCUCCCAAUACAUCUUCUAGUGUGCUUUCUAGCAGCUCUGAAGAUGGUGAUGAUGAUGAGUCCUACCAAUUGCAUAGCAAGAAGGACAAGAAAGGAAAGGGCAAGAAGAACGACAACGACAAAUAUGCUGCCGUAUCCUUUAACUAUUCUUCUAUGUCUAUGACUAACCAUGAUCGCAAGUCUUUUAUUAAUGUGCCCGCAGGGAAGUUACCUCAUUUUGAUGGGACUAACUUUGCCAAGUGGAAGCACUUGAUGAGAGCUUAUCUUAUAGGUCUCCACCCCGGUAUUUGGGAGGUUGUUUGCAAUGGGUUUGAGUCACCAGUUGAUCCCAAGAACCCAACAUUAGAAGAGAUGAGAAUCAUUCACCUCAAUGGUCAAGCCACAAGUGUGUUGCUUAGUGCUUUGGAUGGUGAUGAGUACAAUAGAGUGAUUGGUGUUGACAUUGCCAAGCAAAUAUGGGAUACUUUGCACCUUGCACAUGAAGGAGUUGACAAAGUAAGGAAGGCAAGAAUUGAUUCAAUGAUGGCCAAGCUCAACCGGUUUGUUAUCUUGGAUGGAGAAGGGCCACAAGAGAUGUUUGAUAGGUUGAUGUCCUUGGUGGGCAAGAUUAGAGGCUGUGGUUGUGAUGAGUUAGAUGAUCAUAAAGUUGUCAAGAUUAUGUUGGAAGCUUAUUCACCAAGAAAUGAGACCGUAGUCACUCUAAUUAGAAACAAGAAGAAGUUUGAGUACUUCACACCAAAUGAUGUAUUUGGGAGGAUUUUGACAUUUGAUAUGCAAAGAGAAGAAGCCAAUGAAAGAAAGAAGCUUGGUGAGCUGCAAGCAAAGCUAGAAGGCAUCAAGAUCAAUGAUGAUGUAGCUCUCAAAGCCAACAAGUCAACCAAACGACCCUCUACAAGCAAGUCCAAGUCCAACAAGCAAGCAUCAACUAGCAAUACCAAAGCACCAAAGCAAGUCAAAGAAGUAGAGACAACAUCAUCAUCAAGUGAAGAUAAAAGUGAUAGUGAACAAUAUGAGAAAGUGCAAGAUAUUGCUCUUUUUUGAGAAGAUAUCAAAAGGGACUAAAAAAGCAAGGCUACAAGGUAGUGAAGAGAAAGUUCCCAAACAAGAAGAAGAGGCUAUGCUACAAUUGUGGAAGCACCGAACAUCUCAUUGCUCAUUGUCCUCAUGAAAUCGAAGACAACAAUUACAAGAGAGACAAGAAAGAGAGCAAGACCGACUACAAAAAGAGCAAAAGACACAUGGGAGAAGCUCACAUUGGACAUGAAUGGGACUCAACAAAAGAUAGCUCAAGUGAGGAGGAUGAGAAGAUUGCAACUGUGGCUAUUCACGAGCCAUCCUCCACACCAAGGCUCUUCAACAACAUGUUUGAUGAUGACUACUACUCCCCUCACAUUUAUCUUAUGGAAAAGGGUGAGAAGGUAAAAUCCAAAUCCAAUCCUUCUCCCCCUCGUGAGACAUCUAGUAGUGAUAUAAGUGAUUACUCCAGUGAUGAUGUGUCUAGUGAUGAAGAAAUAACAUAACUAAAAAUUGGGAUAGCAAGACCAAACUGUUCAUCACUAAGCUAAUGGAGGAUUUAGAGAGUGUUCAAGCUGAGUUAGAAUCUAGUGAAGAGACUCUUAUCAAACAAGAGAACCUUUACAUUGCUAGCAAGGAAGCUCUUGUUUUAGAGAGAAGUGAGGUGGAAUCCUUGUGCAAGGCUUUGGCCAAAGAGCAAGGGGACCAUGCUAUCACAAAGAAAGCAAAUAUUGCCCUCAAGCAAAAGUAUUGUGACUUAGAUGGAAAGUACAAGCAACUUGAGGAACAAUAUAGCAUUCUUUGGGAUAGCAACUCACAUCCCUCUAAGACAAAGGAUGGCUCUACUCCCUCCACUAGUCAAGGUUGUGGAAAAUGUUAUAAUCUUGAUUUGAAUGCUCAUUCUACUAACCUUGUUAACUUAGAGACUAUGAGAAAGGAGAUUGAAAGGCUCAAUGAGAUCAUUAGUAAGAAUUGCUUGGGUGGUAAGGCACAAGUGAGUCAUAAAAGGGAAAAUGAUCCAAAAGGGCCUCAAUUCAAGCAAGGGAGACAUCCCUCAAUCAAGUAUGGGCUUGGACACACAAUAGGAGCCAAGACAAAUGGAAGAAAGAUAAUCAAUGGCUAUGAGUGUGUCAAGUUUGAAAGGAAGGGCAAAAUUGGUGUAUAGCGGCCUGCACAGAUUGUGACAAUACAACGUCCCCGAGCGGUAGUGCCACAUAGUGGCAAUACCAAGAUGAAGGACGGUAAUGUCACUCCCCGCAAAAAUGGGAAGGCUACCAAUUUUGUUCCUAAUCAAACUAAGCCCGAAAAGAAAGUGACAUACAAGGAAAAGAAGAUUUCCCAAAAGCCAAAGGAAUUAAUAUGGGGAACUCCAAACAAGUAUGCUUAUCAACCAAAGGUCCAUGCACCUCAACAAAGCUUGUCAUCAUGCUUUGUGUUGAAAAGUAACAACCGUGGUGAAGUUGUUGCUAAGUAUGUUGGCAAGGAGACCAGUGUCUACAAGAAUACUUCCAUUUGGGUUCCUAAGAUACUUGUGACUAACAUGCAAGGCCCCAAGUCUAUUUGGGGACCUCAAUCUAGCAACUAAACUUGUUUUGCAGGCAUACUCCUCCGGUGGAUCAAGUUGGGUGCUUGAUAGUGGAUGUACAAAUCAUAUGACCGGAGAAAGGAGUAUGUUCCAAUCAUAUACCCCAAAGGUGGACUCAAAUGAGAACAUUGUCUUUGGAGACAAUUCUAAAGGGGAUGUGCUUGGUCUCGGUAAAGUUGCUAUAACCCUUGAGCAUUCAAUUACAAAUGUUUUGCAUGUUGAUUCGUUGAGCUAUAAUUUGUUAUCCGUUUCUCAAUUGUGUGAGAUGGGUUACAAUUGUCUCUUUACGGAUAAGGGUGUGGAAGUCUUUAGAAGGGAGGAUUCCUCUAUUGUCUUUACGAGUCGUUUAAAGAAUAAGCUUUACCUAGUUGAUUUCAAUAAAAGUAAAGCUAAUCUUGAGACCUGUUUAGUGGCAAAAUCUAGCAUGGGUUGGCUUUGGCAUCGCCGACUAGCCCAUGUUGGGAUGAGGAACUUGGCCAAACUUCAAAAGGAUGAACACAUUCUUGGACUAACAAAUGUUCACUUUGAGAAAGAUAGGAUAUGUAGAGCUUGUCAAGCUGGAAAGCAAGUUGGCGUACCUCACCCACCAAAGAGCAUCAUGACCACCAGACAACCAUUGGAGCUCAUCCACAUGGAUCUUUUUGCACCGGUCGCCUACCUAAGUAUCGGGGGUAACAAAUAUGGUCUUGUUAUUGUUGAUGACUAUUCCCGUUUCACUUGGGUAUUUUUCUUGUUUGAUAAGUGUCAAGUUAGGGACAAAGCGAAGACAUUUGUUAGAAGAGCUCAAAAGGAGUUUGGUCUCCUCAUCAAGAAGAUGAGAAGUGAUAAUGGGACCGAAUUCAAGAACACUCAAGUUGAGGAGUUCCUUGGUGAAGAGGGCAUCAAGCAUGAGUUCUCAAGUCCAUACACCCCUCAACAAAAUGGUGUAGUAGAGAGGAAGAACCGAACACUCAUUGAUAUGGCAAGGACAAUGCUAGAUGAGUACAAGACUUCAAAUUUGUUUUGGUGUGACGCUGUCAACACUGCUUGCCAUGCCAUCAAUCGCCUCUACCUACACAAGAAAUUGAAGAAAACUUCAUAUGAGCUUCUAACCGGUAACAAACCAAAGGUGUCUUACUUUAGAGUGUUUGGGUGUAAGUGUUUCAUACUUAACAAUAAACCCAAAACAUCUAAGUUUGCAUCUAAAGUUGAUGAAGGUUUUCUUCUUGGUUAUGGAUCAAAUGAGCAUGCCUAUCGUGUUUUCAACAAAACCUCUAGGAGAGUUGAAAUAGCGGUAGAUGUGACAUUUGAUGAAUCUAAUGGCUCUCAAGUAGAGCAAGUUGAUUCAAGUGUUGUAGGAAAGGAGGAUCCACAUUGUGAUGCAAUCAAACAAUUGGCUAUUGGUGAUAUUAGGCCACGAGAAGAUGAAGUCACUGAUGUGGUGGUUUCCCAAGCUGCUGGUGAACAAGUUUCCGCUGAUGUACCUAAUAGUGAGGGGGAGCAAACCCCUACUGCAGCACAACAGAGCAGUUGUGCCAUACCUAAGAGUGGUAAUGCCACACCCCCUUCAACAACAGCAGCAAGUCCGACUCAAAUUCGAGGACAAAACCUACAACCCAUAUUUGAAGAAGAAGAAGUUGAAAAUUUAGAAAGUGAUCAAGAGGCCAUCGAGCAUCCAAGACUCAAGCAAAUCAUUCAACGAGAUCACCCCAUCGACAACAUCCUUGGGAGUCUUCGAAAGGGGGUAUUGACACGUUCUCAUUUAGCAAAUUUUUGUCAAUAUUACUCUUUUGUUUCUCCUGUCGAACCAGUCAAGGUUGAAAAGGCUCUUGAAGAUGAGGACUCGGUGAUGGCCAUGCAAGAAGAGUUGAAUAACUUUGAAAGAAAUGAAGUUUGGACAUUGGUGGAAAGACCCAAGACGAACGUGAUUGGCACCAAGUGGGUCUUCUGCAACAAGCAGGAUGAAAAUGGAGUGGUGACUAGGAACAAAGCAAGAUUGGUUGCUCAAGGCUACACUCAAGUAGAGGGCUUGGACUUUGAAGAAACAUAUGCACCAGUGGCAAGGCUUGAGGCAAUCCGAAUGCUUUUAGCCUUUGCUGCCCAUCAUAACUUCAAGCUAGAUCAAAUGGAUGUCAAAAGUGCAUUUCUCAAUGGCCCUGUCCAAGAGCUUGUCUAUGUUGAGCAACCACCGGGUUUUGAAGAUCCCAAAUUCCCCAACCACGUCUACAAACUCCAAAAGGCGCUCUAUGGGCUUAAGCAAGCACCAAGAGCAUGGUAUGAAUGCCUUAAGGAAUUCUUGCUCAAACAAGGCUUUGAAAUAGGCAAAGCUGAUCCUACCCUUUUCACUCGCAAAGUCAAUAAAGAUAUAUUUGUGUGCCAAAUAUAUGUCGACGACGUAAUAUUUGGUAGUACUAACCAUGAGUUUUGUGAGGAAUUUAGUAGGAUCAUGACCAAGAGAUUUGAGAUGUCUAUGAUGGGUGAAUUGAAGUUUUUUCUUGGUUUUCAAAUCAAGCAAUUGAAGGAUGGAACUUUCAUUAGCCAAACUAAGUACACCCAUGAUAUGUUAAAGAAGUUUGACAUGGCGAAUGCAAAGCCCAUAAAAACUCCCAUGCCAACCAAUGGACAUCUUGAUCUUAAUGAGGAAGGGAAAGUCAUCGACCAACAGGUAUAUCGCUCCAUGAUCGGCUCUCUACUCUAUUUGUGUGCAUCUAGGCCUGAUAUUAUGCUUAGUGUCUGCAUGUGUGCUAGAUUUCAAGCUAACCCAAAAGAGUGCCACUUAGUGGCUGUUAAGAGAAUCUUGAGAUAUUUAGUACACACUCCUAACCUUGGCUUGUGGUAUCCUAAGGGCUCUAAGUUUGAUCUACUUGGGUAUUCGGAUUCCGAUUAUGCCGGUUGCAAAGUGGAUCGAAAAAGCACUUCGGGGACAUGUCAAUUCCUUGGGCAGUCCCUAGUGUCUUGGAGUUCUAAAAAGCGAAAUUGUGUAGCCCUUUCCACCGCCGAGGCCGAGUAUGUUGCAGCCGGUGCAUGUUGUGCUCAACUACUUUGGAUGAGGCAAACCCUUCGUGAUUUCGGAUGUCGCUUUACCAAAAUCCCAUUGUUGUGUGACAAUGAAAGUGCCAUAAAGCUUGCAAACAAUCCUGUAAGACAUUCAAGAACUAAGCACAUAGACGUCCGACAUCACUUCUUGAGAGACAUGAAGCCAAAGGAGAUAUCGAAAUUCGUCAUGUGAGCACCGAAAAGCAACUAGCCGAUAUCUUCACUAAACCUCUUGAUGAGACAAGGUUUUGUGCUUUGCGUAGUGAGCUAAAUAUACUUGAUUCUCUUAACGUGGUUUGAAAUUUAGCACACCUUUGAUUGAUCAACUAGUAUCUAGGCAAAAGGUUUGCAAAAAGGUUCAUAAUGUGGUUCAAAAUGCUUUAUCAAAAGAGAACUUGCAUUUUAUGGUCAUUACAUGUUCUUGUUCAUCUGUUGCUGACCAUAAUAUGUUAAGUUAGUUGUAUCUCUCUUUCUUCUUUUCUCACUUUUUGGUGCUUGUUGCCAAAGGUGGAGAAUGGGAGGGGGGUACAAUUUUUUUUCUCCUUGCCUUGAAUGAUUGUGUGCAUACUUGUCAUACGCAUCACGUAUAUUCCUGUGACACUAUGUGCAGCACCCCACAGAAGUAUGGAUGUAGAGGAAGCCCCAUCACUUAACUCUAUAUGUGAAUUUUGGCCUCUUAUGCCAGUUUGAGAAUUCAAUUCUCCAUUCACAUAUUUAGGGGGAGUCUCUACACCCAUGACUUUAAAAUCUCAGUUAUACUUUAAAUAUUUUUGUAAGCUCUAGUUGUGUUGUCAUCAAUCACCAAAAAGGGGGAGAUUGUAAGUGCAAUCAAGCCCUAGUUGUGGGUUUUGGUGAUAAUGACCACACAAUUAGAGGACUAAUGAGAUUUGUUGAGAUGGCAAGCAGGUAAAAUAAGAAUGAGGGUAACACAUGAUAUGUGAGAUGGCAAAAGCCCAAUUACCAAAUGAUGUGGUGAUGGACUCAAAGGCAUUUUAAUUAUUUAAUAUUUAAUCUUGAGUUUAGGCUAUGCCGCACUAUAAAGACGGAUGCAAAUUUAGUUGGUCUGAGGAAGAUAGAGUGCUCAAGUAUUAAAACUAAAUCAAAAGAGAGACACUCUAGCACUUCACGAGCACGUAGAAUAGUUUUUUAAGACUUGUGGUGUCGGAAGUCCCGACGUGCGUCGGAACUGAUGACGCAUGUCGGAACUGAUGACGUUCGUCGGAAGUCCCGACACCUGGCCCUCUUGCUACCUCUGCUCGCGCUUGCGUCGGAAGUCCCGACGCGCGUCGGAACUAAUGACGCAUGUCGGAACUGAUGACGUUCGUCGGAAGUCCCGACACCUGGCCCUCUUGCUACCUCUGCUCGCGCUUGCGUCGGAAGUCCCGACGUACGUCGGAACUGAUGACGUGUCGGAAGUGAUGACAUGUGUCAGAACUGAUGACGCGUCGGAACUGGUGACGUGCGUCGGAACUGAUGACGUUGAUUGGUUUUGUAUAGACUUCUGACCAAGUGAACAGUGUUUUUAGUAUAUGUCAGAAGUCCUGAGAUCCGCGUCGGAACUUCCGACCUAGAUCUGAACGGUUAGUUUUCAACUUCUUGUAUAAAUAGCUUUCUCAACGUUUCUAACCGUUACAGACUUAUUCUAAGCAACUCACUCACGACCCCAACAGCUCUCAAGCUCUCAAGGCUCUCCUCUCCUCUCCCCUUUGCUCCAAACUUCGAUUCCCCAAGGUUUUGAGUGGUAGGAGAGUAGAUUGAGUGAGAAAAUCUUCUAGCAAGCUUGAGCACUUGAGUUCUUCGUCAAGCCGGUUGGGUUUGCGUCUAUUACUCUUGGGUUCUUAGAACCCUAGCCGGCUAGGCGUCACCCAAGAGCUCCCGAUCUGUGGGAGGACCUUGGGAAGUUUGUAUUACCCUUGAUUUUCUAGUGAAGAACUCAAGUUUACCUUUGUGGUUGCUUGAGAGAGGCAAGGAGGUGAAAGAGACUCCGACCUUAGUGGUCACCUCAACAACGAGGACGUACGCAAGCCUUAGUGGCGAGCCGAACCUCAGGAUAAAUCUUUGUGUCCCGUGUGCUUAUUGUCGUUGUGAUUACUUGAGAUUACUUGUUCUUUGUUGUCUCUUUCUCUCUCAAGCCAUUUCUUAGGUUUUGGUCCCGAUCUACAAAUUGGUGGUGGUUCAAGGUCAAGGAAGCACUUGGAUUACUUCAUCUUACCACUAGAAAGUGGGGUUGUAAGUUAUUGCCUUCACAAAGUUUAUUUAGGCACUUGUAGUUCAUUUCCCGUAGGCGUCGGAACUUCUGACGGUUUGCGUCGGAACUUCUGACAGUUUGCGUUGGAACUUCUAACACUUUGCGUCAGAAGUUUCGACCUGAACUGUCAUAACUUCCGACAGUUGCUGACAAGUGACUUUGAGUUGUGUAGAAAAUUAGUAGAUACGCCUAUUCACCCCCCUCUAGGCUUACCAUGGAUCCUUACAAUUAGGACAUAAAACCUUAUUUCUGGUGGACAAAGAUGAAAAAGGAAAUUGCAGCCUAUGUUGCUAGGUGUGACACAAGCUGCAGGGUAAAGGCAAUUCACCUUAAACCUGUAGAUCUGUUGCAACCUUUGUCAGUUCUAGGUUGUAAGUGAGAAGAAAUCAGCAUGGACUUCAUUGUUGGACUUCCCCCUACACAAAAGGGUUUCAAUUCAAUCUUGGUGAUUGUUGAUCGCCUCACCAAAUCAGCUCAUUUCAUCCUAGUGCGAUCUAACUACCAUCCAUGUGAUUGUGUAGAGUUUUAUUUCUCUCAGAUAGUCCGAUUGCAUGGAGUACCUAGAACCAUUAUUUCUGAUCAAGGUCCUCAGUUCACUACUCGUUUCUUGGAACACUUGCAUUCACUCCUUGGUACUAAGUUGGUUCACAGUUCAGCUUAUCAUCUUCAAACUUCUGAUCAAACUGAGCGUGUGAAUCAAGUUCUAGAGGAUAUGUUGAUGGCACGUGUCAUCUCUUCCAAGGGGGCAUGGGAGAAAUGGCUACCCUUAGCUGAACUCUCUUAUAACAAUAGCUACCAAGAGAGUAUCCAAAUGGCUCCUUUUGAAGUAUUAUAUUAUCGCAAAUGUUGGACUCCUUUGAACAGGGUUAAACCGAGAUACUACGACACUGAUUUUGUUGAGGAAGCCAUGAAGUAGGUUCUCACUAUUCAGAAACACAUAGAAGCUGCACAGGCUAGACAAAAAAGCUAUGCAGAUUGAAGGAGGAGACCACUCAAAUUUGAAGUAGGUGACUAUGUGUACCUAAAGGUAUCCCCUAUGAAAGGAGUAAAUCGCUUUGGUGUGAAGAGAAAGCUUGCUCCUAGAUAUGUGGGUCCCUACCAAAUUAUUGAAAAGAGUGGCAAGGUGGCCUACAAGGUGCAAUUACUUUAUGAGAUGAGAGCUAUUUUCCUUGUGUUCCAUGCGUCCCAAUUAAAGAAGUGCCUUCGUAUUCUUGAAGAAAGAGUAGAAACUAGAGGCAUUAAGUUGUAGUCUGAUCUAUCUUAUGAAGAUGCAAGUACUUGAUUUCAAAGAGAGAGUUACUCAGGGGUGGAUGAUCAAACUUUAUAGAGUAUUGUGGAAAAACCAAAGUGAACAGGAUGCCACCUGGGAAAGGGAAUAUUAUUUACAAGCAACUUACCCCUACUCUUAUGUAAAAUGGUACGUCUUUCAAAUCUCGGGACGAGAUUUUUGUAAGGGGGGAGGGCUGUAAGACUUCUAGUGUUAGCCUUGCAUGUUAAGCAUUUGCAUUGCAUUAGCAUGAGCAUUAUCACUUUCAUUCAUAAGCAUCAUACCAAGGUCAUGUCUCAUUUCAUGUGAAACUUGUAUACAAAGGAUUGCUUGAAUGCUUAUAUAUGUGUAUACUAUAGUAUGACCAAUGCAAAUAGGUGUCCUCUGUCCUCACAAAUACUUUAACUAAGCUUAGAGUGUGUUUUGGGAGAAUGUUCAUGUUGGAGGUUUCACCCAAAAAUGCCCCUAUGUCAUGGUAACCUUAGUUUGACCCACUUUGACCUCCUAAACCUCUUUUCAAAUACCUUUUAUGAACUCAGUGUUAGAGACCUUGCAUGGAGGUGCACCCUUAAGAAACGUUUUAGUAAAUUUUAUAAGCUACAAAAGUUGUUUUGGGGUCAUCUCAUGAAAAUAUGUGGAACAUGUUCAAAAGUGGCCCACAAGACAGAUUUGGGACUGUUUUCAACACUUAGAAAGUUUUCUGCCUAAGUCUGUUUACACAGUUUCGAGGUAGGGUACAUGGGAGCAUUGUAGUUUGAAAUCUAGGGCGAAUUAGACCAUGAUUCUUUAAGUAAACUUGUAGUACUCAUGUAGCUCUACAAUAUGAAACAACUGGUUGGCCAAAUGAUCAAACAAAUCAGGAGUAAAACGUCGGUGAAGACUGAGUUUUAGUCACUGCCGAUGACCACUGAAUCAAGCGAUUCAGUAUCGUCAGAAAAAGGCACCCUGAGCAAUUGCAGCAUCCAUUUCCUCCCCCUGCCUUCUUUCUCUCACCCGUUUUCUUCCCCAGCGAGCUCCGCCGUGCAAUGGCGACCUUGCCAGUGCUCCUCGCCGCAGCACCGGCCAAGCCACCGCGCCAAAAGCUUCACCUGAGUGUCCUCUACCUCGACGUCACCUCCAUUACCACAGCCGAGCUCUGCGUGGAUUCAUCCUCACCGAAGAUCCGCCGAGCUCAUAGGCGACGUGACCAGAGCUCUGUGGUCCACCAUUUUUUUCUCAUUCUUGUUCCAAUUGCUUCCUCUUGACUCACUGAUGCUCGGCGUGAACCUCAACCGCGUCAACAUCGACUGAGCAUGCUGGCGUAUCGUCCGCAGCGCCGCUGAGCCGCCAUUGGCGCCUGUGAGCACUCUAUAGCUCGGUAGAGUUAGGGAAACUUACCUCAUUAGGUUCGCCUUGAGGAGAGGAACACAACCAUGCCAUUGGUUUCCGCCGAGACCUCGCCGCCGUCGAGUUUCACCGGCGACGAGCUCGUCUCUACUUCCUGUGUCACUGUCGAGUCCGUCCUGCUCACCUGUGGGGUCCCCUCGUCAGUCCCCCUCUCUCUAUUUAUUUUUUGGCAGAUUUGGUGCUGUUUUUGUAAAAUCCAUAUCUGGAGUUUGGCAGAUCCAAAUUGGGUGAUUUGAAUUUUGUCAUGUUCUUAAGACAGUCUAGUUUUCAUUAAAAAUAUGAAACAUGACAUGUGUUUACAGAAAUAUUUAGUUAUAAAUUAUCUCUUUUAUUCCCUAAUAAAAAGAGGAUAAUAAUAUCUCUAGAUGUGUAAGUCCUAUGGCCAUGAAAAUUUAGGGAGAUGUUACUUAUGCUAUGAUUAGACUCUGGUACAUUUUGCAUGAAUUUGGGAUGCUGUAUGAUGAAGUUAUAAUUAUCCCUUGUUUAAAUAGGAGCUUCUUGUGGUAUUUUUAAUAAAUAGGUUAUAGCUCCUAUUGGGAUGAAACUUGCUGGAUGAUGUAGCUAAGUUAAUAUAAAGCUCUGAAAAAUCUGAAAUCUGUUGUUUGACACUUUUUGAUAGGGUUUCCCAUUUAUGCCUUUAAUGCCUUUAUUAGCUUAUUAUUUUUGUACACUAUUAUUUGCAUGUCCAAAGGCAAUGAAAAUUUUACAGUAGCCUUAUUCAUGCAUGAAUAGCUUGCUGUAAUUUGGUUGGAAUUUUUGGAGCACUUAUGAUAUAUGCUCAUUAAUUCACCAUUAAUCAUCAAUAAAUAGAAAAAAGUAUAUUUCAAGAUAGUUUGGGUCUUGUCAUGGAGUUUUAUAAUGUUUCUCAGAUAUACUCUAGGUGUUGGUGCUUUUAGUUUGGAUCAAUGUUACUUUCUCAAUAUGUGGUAAGAUAUUAUUUUGCUAAUUAUGCCUUGUCUACAGCAAUUUCUGUGUAGCUGAUAGAACUUCCUUAAGAACUAUAUGAAGAUGAGGUUUGCCGGAAAUCUUCUUUAUAACAAACUUGUAGAUAACUUGCUCGUCUACUUUUUGUCCAAAUUUCAUAACAUUUGUGUUGGGCACCAUAAAAAGGGAUACCCAAAUCAGAGCAAUAAAAAACGCAAAAGCCAAAGCAAAUCAUCCAUAAUCACCAGGGCGCGGGCCCUGUCUCGUCUGGCUCCUUGGCCUCGGGUCCAAACCACGGCUUGCCCGACCCCGUUGGGCCUCGGACGCGAGUUCCGUUUCGCCCGACCCCCUGGGGCUCGGACGCGAGUUCCGUCUCGCCCGACCCCCCUAGGCCUCGGACGCGAGUUCCGUCUCGCCCGACCCCCCUGGCCCUCGGACGCGAGUUCCGUCUCGCCCGACCCCUCUAGGGCUCGGGUGCCGACGCCGUUUCGCCCGAUCCGCCAUCACAGUGCAAGGCUUCCGACGCACAGCGCCCGUACCCACGACGUGACCGGCAAGUAUAAAGUGCGCACUACCGAAGGAAGUGCGGUGUGCGGGGGACCAUUGGCGUAAGACCAGCAGGUGAGUUAAAAGUUCUGACCUCCCUGGCAGAGUGGUAGCCCUAGGAGUGCGGCGCUGAUCGGAGCCGCGAUUCCUGAGUCGUACCAAAGGUGACCCGCUUGCUCUCUGACGGGGGAAGCAUGGGUGAGUGUUAGGAAUAACCCUCCAGCUGGAUAGGAAUCGAUUCGAAUCGCCGUCUCUCCCGGAUAGUGAGAACUUGACAGAGCAGCGGCAAACGUAGCAUUCACUAAACAACCUAAUGGUUCUAUGAUGAUGAUGAUGAUGAUCACGGCCUUGAUAAACCUGAUAUGGUUAUUAUUGAUUGAUAUUAAUCAAGUGAUUGCUAUAGUACAGGUGCUAAUCUAGUUCAUAGGUUAAUGAGAAUUAAAUGGAUGCUAAAUAAGAAAGGUUUAACUAUUUAUACUUAAGAUUUUUAUGCAAAAUAUUGUCCAACAAGCUCCACUUAUAUAUCAGCCUUGCAUACUCCUUGGUGUCAUUAUUUGUGGUUUAUGACGGGUAAGUCUAGCUGAGUAGAUUCUCGUACUCAGGGUUUUAUUCCCACUCGUUGCAGGUUGUGAUGUAUCAUAGCUACUGCAAGAUUUGGAUGACUCCUGCUGUAGUGAAGGAGUAAGAUCAUGGGCAUGAUCCUUCCUACUUACCUCAUCUAGGAUGCUUUUGUUGGAAUGGACCAUGGUACUGGCAUGUAUUUGAAAUAAAAUUGAUAUUGGGUUCAAAUUACUUUGCUUCUGCUAUUUGUAAACUUGAGUUGUAAUAACCUUAUCGAUCUCCGAUGUAUUUGAACUACUUGCGAAAUGUAUGUAACGUGUGAUUUGUUAUGUUGAAUCACUAUGAUCUUGGCUUGUAUGUUGGUUGGAUUGAAAUCCCUCGUGAUUUCGUUGGACUAUCGGAGUUAUAUGGGCUCAAGUAUGAUAAAUUGAUCGCUUCGGUGAUUGUUUUUGUACUUGUGCUCUUAUAAUUUGGACGGUUCCGUGACACUGGCCCAAGAGCAGUCCGGCCGCGGGGAUGGGGGUGAGGCAAGACGCUGCGCCCGGGACGUCAACCGCCGCAUCAUCGAGGAUGAAGGGGGUGACAACCCCCUAGUCUUCAGCACGGCCAGCCAGAACGUGAUGGCUGCCGCACUCCUCCUCAGAGCGAUGCCCGAGCCGUUGACUCCCGAGGGGAGAAGGGUGCGCCAGGGGCUACGUAGCCUCCUGGAGCAAGCUGUGGUGCAGAACGCAGAGAGUUCUGCAUCACAGUCCCACGGCACGAGACGCCAAGGGGACCGACCCCCUUCUAACAGGGCACCAACGGUGCAGGGUCCGCCGCCCCCCAAACCGCAAGGGGGCAAUAGGGCCCCAUCUGUCCACGAACGCGUCGGGGCCGACGCGGACGUCCGGGCCACCCUCGAGGCUAGACGGCGUGACAGGGACGAGGCCGAGUCUCGACAUUAUCGACCGCGCCGAGGCGGGAGGUACGACCCUGACCACGACCGCAGCACGUCGCCAGAGCCUCCGGGCCCCCGUGUCUUCAGCGAGGCCAUUCGCAGGGCCAAGUUCGCGACACGAUUUCGACAGCCUGCUAACCUCACCAAGUACUCGGGGAGACCAACCCUGAGCUCUGGCUAGUGGACUACCGCCUAGCAUGUCAACUGGGCGGAGCGGACGAUGACUUACUCAUCAUCCGCAACCUGCCACUCCACCUGGCCGAUACGGCCAGAGCAUGGCUCGAGCACCUCCCUGAGCGCAUGAUCCACGACUGGGCCGACCUGGUCAAGAUCUUCGUCGGGAGCUUCCAGGGCACAUAUGUGCGCCCUGGGAACUCCUAGGACCUCAGGAGCUGCCGGCAGAAGCCUGAUGAGUCCCUCCGAGACUUCAUCAGGCGUUUCUCCAAGCAGUGCACCGAGCUCCCCAACAUCACGGACUCCGACGUCAUCAGAGCCUUCGUCUCCGGUACCACCUGCAAGAAGCUGGUACAUGAGCUCGGCCGCAAGACUCCCACGAGCACCAGCCAGCUGCUCGACAUCGCCACCAACUUUGCCUCAGGCGAAGAGGCUGUUGGUGCCAUUUUCUCCGACGGCACGGCCAAGGGGAAACAAAAGGCCGAGGCCAUCGAGGCCUCGGGCUCACACGAUCCCAAGAAGAAGAAGAAGAAGGGUCGCAAGGGGAAGCAGGGUCAGUCGAACGACAACCUAGUCGCCGCGGCAGAUCGCAAGAACCCCAAGCGGGCUCCUGCUGGCCCCGGUCUCUUCGACGAGAUGUUGAAGAAGCCGUGCCCCUAUCACAGGGGACCAACUAAGCACACCCUUGAGGAGUGCACUGUCCUGCAUCGGACUACACCGACAUGAUAUCCAAGGAGGGCGCUGAAGAGCCCCCCAAGGACGACGACCCUUAGGGGGAAGGCUUCUCCAAGGUCAAGAACUGUCUCUUGAUCUUUGGGGGACGCGCGGGUCGCCUCACCGCGAGUCAAAGGAAGUGCAAACUCCGAGAAGUUUGCGCAGUCAGCACGGCCGUGCCCUCGUACCUCAAGUGGUCCGAGAGUGCGAUCACAUUCGAUCUGCAGGAUCACCCAGACCGGAUCCCCAACCCCGGGAGCUAUCCGCUGAUCGUCGACCCCAUCAUCGCCGAGACUCGUCUCACCAAGGUGUUGAUGGACGGAGGCAGCGGCCUCAAUAUUUUUUACGCCAAGACUUUGGCCCUCAUGUGGAUCAGCAAGUCUCGGCUGAGGAACGACACAUAACCAUUCCACGGAGUGGUGCCGGGACAUCGCGCCCACCCCCUCGAGCAGAUUUAUCUGCCCGUCUGCUUUGGGACCCCCGAGAACUUUAGACGGGAGGUUCUCACUUUCGACGUGGUUGGGUUCCCAGGAACCUACCACGCGAUCCUGGGGCGACCAUGCUAUGUCAAGUUCAUGGCCAUCCCCAACUACACCUACCUCAAGCUUAAUAUGCCAGGGCCAAACGGCAUCAUCACCGUCAACACGACCAGCCAGCACGCCUACCAGUGCGACGUCGAGUGCAUCGAGCAGGCCGAGGCUAUAGCUGAGUCUCUGUCUAUCCUCACCAGCCUCGGCGACGGUGACCAGGACAUCCCCUGUAACACCCUAGGUGUUAAGCAUGCACUUAGUCUCAUCAAGGUCAUGCAUAAGCAUUUCCAUCAAGCAUAAGCAUCAUGAGCAUGACACUCUUUUCAAAUUAUGAUUUUAUGUGCUUUAAUUAUGUUAAAAUGUGAUGCUUGUUUCUAAAAUUGUGAAAUAUUCAAAUUAGGUUGCUUUAUGUGUAAGAAGAAUUAAGAACAUUUUUGUGCAAUUUUUGGAGCUAUGGAAAUUGAGAAAUGGAAUUUAUACAAAAUAUCCAAAAUAACUUUAUUUAAAAACCUAGAACUAAGUUUUAAUUUGUAAUUCAAAUUCUAUUUAGAAUUUGGUCUUACCUAUUAAAGCAAAGUUGUAGAGCUUUUAGUUUGGCACCACUUUGCUUUUGGGUGAAGAUGGCGAAAAUAAUUUGAAAAUGUCAAAAUGAAUUUAUGAGAGAAUUUGAGAAAAGAAAUUCAAAAAAAAAUAGAAAAGGGAAAGGGGGCGCUAGCAGGCCGCGGCCUCGCUUCUGGCCCGCUGGCCGAAGCCGGCCUGGCCCGCCCGCGCCUUCCCCUUCCCCCUCCUCGCGCUCGCGCCCGCGUCCACGCGCGCGGACGGCCUCGCCGUGCCGCCGUGGCGCGCCGGCAGAGCCUGGCCGCCGCGUGGCGGGCAUGCGGCGGCGUGGAGACGCCCUGGUCGGCCACCAGGAGCCCCUGGACGCGCCCGCCGAAGCCCCCGCUCCCAUUUGCGCCCUCCACCGCUCGCUCUCGCCUCUCUGCUCGCCCUCGCGCAGCGCUCACCGCUCCGCCGCACGCCAUAGCCGCCGACGGCUCGGAGCUUCCCUCCCGGCCAGCUCCGGCCCUCUCCUUCCCCUUCACGACCACCACCGGCUCCGCCUCGUCCUUCCGCGUCUCGUGCUUGCGCUCUUCCGCGCUCGGUAAGCCCUGCGUGCCCGCUAGAGCUCACCGGAGUUAGUCAGAGCUCCGGCGACCUCUCGGCUCGCACGGUUCUCCCUCUCCUCUCUGUCUCUGCUCGCGUUCAUAGGUGCUUUGGGUCCGCCUUGACCUCGCGCACCUUUUCCCGUCACUAGCUCACGCUCUACCGCCGUGAAACGGCCGGACCACGGCGGGCAGCGCCGCCGCGUCCACCAUUCACGACGGCGAGGUAGUUCCGGUGCUCGUCCGGUGCCAAAGAGGGUACGGCUGGACUCGUCUCGUUCGCGCGAAGCCGUAGGUGCUCACGGUGUCGCCGGAAACCUCACCGGCGGCGAGAUUCCGGCCGAUCUUUGGCCGCGGGGUCACGGGGUGGAUGAUAGGUGGGGUCCCCUGACCCGCGUGUCCCGCCUGUCAGUGACUCCGAGGGUUUGAAUCCGGGUGCGCUUAGCGUUUUGGGUGACUUUCCGUUUUAAAAGUUUUUCCAGGAAAUGAUUUAAAUGUUCAAAAAUCCAUAUCUUGAUGAAUAUAGCUCCAAAAAUGGUGAAAUAAAUUUUGGUGUGUUCCUUAUUUCCAGAUCUAUAGCCUAAUAUGAUUGCAUGUCAUGUUUGAGUAACUUUCCUGUAAGAAUAUAAUUAAUCCAUGUUUUUCCUAAACUUGGAAAAUGCAUAGUAAAUAAAAUAGGGUUCAGAAAAAUGUAAAACUUGUUUUGCUGGCUCUGCAUGUGUGUUUAACCACUGAGAAAAUAUUGUUACAUAUUAUUUGGUGUAUAAAUGAAUUUAUGGUAAUUUAAAUGCUUGCAUGGCAGUGCUUUAUGAUUUUUAAUAAUUAAAUGGGUCAUGCAAUAAAUCUGGAAAAUUUUGUGGGUGUUUCUUAUGAUAUUAGAUGAAUUGUAAAAAUAUGAAAUCUGUUGUUUGACACUUAUAUCACAGUAGGGUGAUUAUACUUGCCUUAUCCAUUAAUCUUGUGAUUUUUGUGGCUCAAAAUAAGUAACCAAAAAUUAUGAAAAAUUUACAGUAGACUUUAUGAUUAGCUAGUAGUCUCCUGUAAUUUUUCUGGAAUUUAUUGAUGAACAGAAUUGCAUGUGAUUUUUAAUGGGCUUAGAAAUGAAUAAAGAAAAUUAUGAAUGGUUGUGUAUGUAGGUUGAAUGGACUAAGUUGGGUUUGGUGUAUCUUUGAAGCAUCAUGUAGGUUGCUGAUUUCAUUUGAAAAAUAUUUGUAGAAGAGAAUGCAAUAGAUGCUUAAUCCAAGUGCCUGUUCUUGGAUGAUGUUGCAUACAUUGUAAUGAACAUGACCAAGUGUAUCAUCCAUGCAUCAUGUCAUGGUCCUUUGGUACUUUCUCAUACAAGCAUCCACUCGGGCAUCUCGCACUCCACUCAUGAGCAUAUAUGCAUCAUACAGGCUCGCAGGAGAACGAAGUGGGACCCGAGGAACCCGAGGAGAUACAGGAGCAGGAACCUCCGGAAACACAGGAAACCGGAGAGGAAUUGCAAGAGUGUCCGGAUCACCGACCCAGCACCUUUGAGAAAGGCAAGCCCCGGAGCAUUCUAAGUCUCCCUAUUCUCGCUAACUUAUAUAAAGUGCUAUACUUGUUCUACUGUAUUGCAUAUUAAGUGAUAGGAGUUGCCUGAUACCGUUGCUGCAUGCGUACUCCUUGUUAUUCCUACUCAUUCAACUACCUUGUCCUAUGUAGAUAGGCACGGAGUCUAUGCUUAGCUUGCUUAGUUCGGUAGAAGUCGGGUGAUUCCCUGUCACCUGCGAGAUAUAGGUGGAUACCUGCUUGAUUAAGCAUUGGUUGCUCGGGGAAAAGAAUAACCAAGUGUGGAAUGAAUUUGGAGACCGGGCAGAGACUUAUGGUGGGUUGACCAUAGUGCCCCUGCCUGUGUCAAUUAAGGACCGAUCGUUGACGGCCCUCUUGUCAUGUUGAACGCAUGCCCCACAUUUAGCUGGAAGGAUAAGUCGUUCCGACCGCGAAGCCUGAGCACUAUCCGGGCCGGGAAUCGGCCCGAUGUACGCGCUGUAUUGGUGAUGGUUGAGGAGAACGACGAGGGCGCGGCGUGCAACCUUGGUAUACCUUGGAUACCUCGGUCGCCGGAACGGUCCUCGGGUACGGGCGGUGCCUGUCGAACCCGCGAAUUGGUCCUGGAUAGUGCAACACGGUGACCUGUAGCUCACUUGAUCAGUGAGUGUGGUUUGUGUGGGGAAUAAACUCGCCAGCUGGUUAGAAAUCGAUUCGAAUCGCCAUCGCUCCUGGAUAGUGAGCACUUGACAUGAGCCAUGUCCUCGUAGUAAGGACUAUGGAACACUUGGGUUAUAAUGAUGAAUAGUUUUAAGAAAUGCUAUGAUGAGGUACUAUCAUAGUCUCAUACUUGCUUGUAAUAGUGCAGGUGCAAACCUAGAUAAUAGGUAAUGAUACUUUCAACUUGAGCAAAUUAAAAGAAGAAAAGAUUUAUGUAAGUUAGGGUAAUAAAACCUUGCGGGCUUUGCAAAAUGGUUGUCAGCUACCCCACUAAAUAGCCUUCAUGAUCCUUGAUGAGUCUUUAUUUUAAGUUUAUGACGGGUAAGUCUAGCUGAGUACCUUCUCGUACUCAGGGUUCUAUUCUCAUGUUGUUUUGCAGAUGGUCAAAUGUACUAUGGUUAUUGCAUCCUCUGUCUGUACCCAGCUAUGGGUGAUGACUAGACCAUGGGCGAUGGUCACUCUGUCUCUUCUUUUGCUUUUGUGGGAAUGACCGAACUAUGGCACUGUAUCAGACUUAUCGUGUGUGUUGUAAUCUCAAACUAUGAAGCUUCUGCUACUUGAAGAACUUGGUUUGUAAUAACUUUAAGCACUCCGAUGUAUUUUAUGAAUGUUGUAAUCUGGAUGUACUUGUGGAUGGCGACCGCUAAACUUAUUACGAUCUUGGCUGUUAUGUGAUGUGUGGUUUGAAAUCCAUCGAGAUUUCACGGACUACCGGGAUUAUAUGGGCUUAAGCGUGAUAGUUCAACUAUGCAAAUGGUCACUAUUAGGCUUAAUCUCUUAUAAUUUGGUCGGUUCUGUGACAGCUGGCAUCGGAGCAAGGUUUAGCGAGUUACUGUUCAUAAGUACGUUCUAAACAAAAUCUAAACCGGUCUAAUGAAAGAUUUUAGUAAUUAAUAAAGAUCAAGGUGUUAAACUAAGUUUUGGAAAACUAUCUAAUGUGCCGUGGUCAUAUCCUUUAUGCCCAGUUAAGGACUCUAAGGUGGCUAGCUAAGUACUGACCUGGGGGUUAAUGCAUCAUAUUUUUGUUUCGUCGCUCAUACGGCGUGCAAUAGUAUGAGUGCCAUUCAUUUGAGUGGUAAUGUAUGGAUCAAUUCUUCCUCUACGUCAUGGUAAGUGGGAGUUGUGAGAGCAUGAUCGGAUACACUGCCGGUCUAGGGGGGUGUUGUCAGGUGCUGUGCCAUGCGCACAUGUUGGUGUGUCUUGGGAACAGUACCGCAUGCUGGGAAUUCCGUCCUGAGAGGCGAUGCCGUCAAUAGGGCGAUGAUGUGGGUAGUGACACAUCGCAUGCAUGGACGGGUGUCUGUGUAUGCGGAGUGCCUAGUUUUAAAUUCCUAUUCUGCACGAUCAUACUGUGGGUGGGCUGAAAUGAGUUUUCUGCAAGUACACUAACCACGUUCUCGCUUAGAACGCUAGUUACGUUAUGAGAGAACGUUGUGUGCCACCGCAUAUACUGCUUAGUGCUAACCUUUGUUUCUAAGUUUGUGAGAUCGUAAGCUCGUGCAUACAUCAUGUUCAUUUCAUAUCAUUGCUUACUUUCCCCCUUAAUUUAAUCUGUCCCAAUUCUAAAUAAAAUAAUUAAAGGUAAUCCUCGCUCUUACCCACGGUAUUCCAUUUGCAGCAGAUGGCACGCACUAGGCUCACCGCUCGCAAGUCCACUGGUGGGCGGGCCCCUCGCCGUCCGUUGGCAGCUAGGACCUCGCGACAUAAGAGCAAGUUCCUAGAGGAGUUUGGGAUGCCCACUUUGCUUUGGAGGGUGCUCAGUUCAAUGGGGUAUCCCGAAGGAAGGGAGCCUCACUACUAUUGGGAUAAGGAGCCGCUUGGGGAUGAGACCCUGGUGGGGAUCGAGGCAGUUGUCCCUACCAGUGGAGGAGACCCUGCUUGGGGCGGUUGGGUGUACGAGUCCCGAGGUGUCACGCCUUUCCAUGGUGCCAGCAGGGCAGCUUUCGCAGUUUUGAGGGACCUCAUGGAGAGGUUUCCACAGGAGCUGGCCCACGCCUUCGCUGGGGUGUUUCCCCGGGGUGACCCUUACACUUCGGUGUGGGAUCAGUCCGAGGUGAAUGCUCUAGAGAGGAGUGCGGACGAGGACCAGCACAGUGACAGUGCAGCUAUGAGUGCCAUGUACGCGUUGAUGAAGACCUAUGGAGGCCUGGAGCGUUGUUUCGGUCGCUUGUCCGGGUCUCUUCUCACCGUCCAGGAUGAGAAGCGUCAGUUGCAGCGUGAGUUUGACUCUGAGGUUGAGAGGCUACAGGCAGAGUUGGCUCGUGUGACCCGAGAGAGAGACCAGGCAGUCCAGAAGAACAGUGAGCUGAGUCAGGACCUGCUUGCAGUGCGAGAGCAGAAGGACAGGGUGACUACUGCUCACAGGAACUGCGAGCGCAUGCUAGUCCAUGUGCUUGGACAGAGGAAUGAAGCCUGGCACGAGGAGGACACUUUGAGGGCCCGACAGCUAGAGCUAGAGCAGCAGCUAGCUAAUGCUGAGGAGUACAAUGAGAACUUGCAUGAGGAGAUCCACCAGCUGCAUAACAAGCUCCACCCUCACCACCUGCCUGGAGCAGCGGAGCUAGACUCUGAGGAUGAGAUGGACGCGGAUCCCGAGAUAGGAGCAGCUGCUAGUGGUGAUGAAGAUGAGGAUGGCUCCGGCAUGGACAGUGACCACAGCGAGUAGAUGCUAGGGCUCUAGGGCUAGUCUUUCCUCUUUUGUGAUGUAUGUUGCAUGGCAUGUCGUGUACUUUUGGAUCUGGGCUGUGUAAGACUUUAUGAGUUGAUGCUGAAAGUCCAGUGUAUGUAUACUGGCAAGUUGGAUGUACGCGAACCUUGUUGCGUGAAUGCUAAGUAAUCUGUUAGUGAUGUUGUGCGUGGAUGAUGAGUUGUUGUGCCUUUGUUUAUUGUGUGAAUUUAUUCCCUCAGUAAAUUCAAUAUGGCACGAUUUUACACAUUUUCCACCGGUUGAUGGCAACUCCUAACGAUUGCUUGUCAUUGGCGUAUGCAGAUGGUGCAAACACGCGGCGGGGGUAACAGCAAUCCGGGUCUUGGAGCAGGUACACCCGGAAAUGGGGCUCAACGGAAUGAGGACCGAGCGCCAACACCACCACCACCUCCCCCGUACACUGCGGAUGUGUUUUUCGCGCAGUUUCUGGGAAGCCAACGCAACAUGGAACAGAUGCAGCGCAACAUGGAAGAAGCUUUGCGCAACAUAGCUGACAACACCCGUCGUGGGGAUAAUCAGGGUGGCCGGGAGGUCAACCAGUACAGUUCGUUCAAGGACUUCAUGGAUACCAAGCCACCAAUCUUCAAAGAGGCUUUGGAACCCCUCGAGGCAGAUGAAUGGAUCAAUACCAUGGAGCAGAAGUUUCGUCUUCUUCGGAUGACAGAAGAACUCAAGGCUGAAUAUGCGGCACAUCAGUUACAAGGACCCGCUGGGAUUUGGUGGUCCCAUCACCGUACCACCUACCCAGAGGGGACACCAAUAACCUGGAACCGCUUCACCACCGCUUUCCGGGGAAAUUACAUCUCUCCUGGUGUGGUUGAAAUGAAGGUUGGGGAGUUCAUGAGGCUGUCCCAAGGGACGAAGUCUGUGAAGGAGUAUCUACACGCUUUCAACAAUCUCGCUCGCUAUGCCCCUGAGUUUGUAAACACGGAGGCCAAGAAGAUUGCUAGUUUCCAGAGGGGCUUGAAUCCAAAGAUGCUGAAGACCAUGGGUACAGGGGCCAGGGCUACUUUCAAUGCCUAUAUCAGCGACUGUCUGACCCAAGAGAACAAUAACAACAACUACAGUGCAUCCAAGUCUCGUAAGAGGGCUUUUGAAGCCGGAUCAUCUCAGUCCAGGGCACCAGUGGCAGGGCGACAGCAGUAUCGUCCUCCUGCCCCGGGUGCUAGGUUCCGACCGCCGCAGAGAAGGAACACCGGGCAUCCAACACAACAGAAGCCGUACAAGGUGGCGAUAGCCCCUGCCAAGCCAAAGGCAAUUCAAGCUGCAGCACCUGCCGUCAACAGUGCGCCCAAGGGUCCGUGCUAUAACUGCCACAAGAUGGGGCACUUUGCUAAGGAAUGUCCCUACCCCAAAAGGCAGCAGCCAACCUAUCCAGCUCGUGUGCACCAUACCUCGAUCGAGGAGAUUCCGGAAGGAGAACCGGUAACAGCUGGUAUGUUUCCUGUCAACCAACAUCUUGCAGUUGUUUUGUUUGAUUCUGGAUCAUCGCAUUCAUUCAUGAGCCAAGCAUUUAGACAAAAGCAUGAUCAGCCAGUUACUGAGUUAGGUUAUGGCUAUCGCAUCAGCUCAGCCGGAGCCGAUGUGUUGACUAAUAAAACGGUAACAGGAGUUACCUUGGAUAUCAGUGGUCGGAGGUUCCGUGUAAACCUUGUGGUCAUGCCAGGACUGGUUUUGGAUGUCAUCAUUGGGAUGAACAAAAUGACUGAUUGGGGCGCGGUUAUAGAUACCGGGAAUAGAACUCUUUCCCUUAGAGACCCGCAAGGGAAGGGGGUGCUUCAGGUCAAGCUACCUAGACGGUUGGACUUCGCCAGUCUUUCAUGUGCAGUACAGGUAGUCCCUCUAGAACACAUACCCGUGGUAUGUGAGUUCCCUGAUGUGUUUCCUGAGGAUUUACCAGGACUUCCCCCAGAUAGGGAGGUAGAGUUUGCAAUCGAGUUGAUACCAGGUACAGCACCAAUAUCUAGAAGGCCGUAUCGGAUGCCCCCAAAUGAACUCGCUGAGUUGAAGAAUCAACUAAAAGAGUUGCUGGAUAAAGGGUUCAUCUGGCCAAGCUCGUCGGAAUGGGGUUGUCCAGCGUUGUUUGUGAAAAAGAAGGAUCAGUCGUUGCGCAUGUGCGUGGACUAUCGUCCACUCAAUGCAGUGACAAUCAAAAAUAAGUAUCCCUUGCCAAGGAUUGAUAUCCUGUUUGAUCAGUUAUCCAAGGCAAGAGUGUUUUCUAAGAUAGAUUUGAGAUCUGGGUAUCACCAAAUCAAGAUUCGUCCGCAAGAUAUCACGAAGACUGCUUUUUCCACCAGAUAUGGGUUGUAUGAGUAUCUAGUGAUGUCCUUUGGGCUGACAAAUGCUCCUGCGUACUUUAUGUAUCUAAUGAAUUCAGUCUUUAUGCCAGAAUUGGAUAAGUUUGUUGUGGUGUUUAUCGAUGAUAUUCUGGUAUAUUCAGAAAAUGAGCAAGAUCACGCCGAGCAUCUGAGAAUCGUGCUGACACGAUUACGAGAGCAUCAGUUAUAUGCCAAGUUCAGCAAGUGUGAGUUCUAGUUAAAGAAAGUUCCUUUCCUAGGGCACAUUCUGUCUGAAGAAGGAAUUGCUGUGGAUCCAUCAAAAGUGCAGGAAGUCAUGGACUGGAAGGCACCAACUUCGGUCUCGGAAGUUAGAAGUUUUCUUGGUCUGGCCGGGUAUUAUCGUCGUUUUAUACCUGACUUCUCCAAGAUUGCUAAGCCAAUGACAAGUUUGCUACAAAAGGAUCAUAAGUUCGUCUGGACGGAAGGGUGUGAGUUAGCCUUCCGCACCUUGCGAAAGUUGCUAACCACUGCUCCCGUUCUGGCACAACCUAAUAUAGAGAAGCCUUUUGAUGUGUUUUGUGACGCAUCGAAGAGUGGCCUGGGGUGUGUGUUGAUGCAAGAUGGCAGGGUGAUAGCUUAUGCUUCCCGACAGCUGAGAAAGCACGAAAUCAAUUACCCAACGCACGACCUCGAGUUAGCAGCUGUGGUGCAUGCUUUGAAGAUCUGGAGACAUUAUCUGCUGGGAAAUAAGUGUCACAUUUAUACCGAUCAUAAGAGCUUGAAGUACAUCUUCACGCAGUCCGAGCUGAAUAUGAGGCAACGACGGUGGUUAGAGUUAAUCAAGGACUAUGACCUGGAAGUUCACUAUCAUCCAGGCAAGGCUAAUGUAGUAGCAGAUGCUCUAAGUCGUAAACCACACUGUCAAGUGGUUCAACCGUUGUUUGAAGAUGGGUUCAAUCUUAUGCAUCCUGAGGUCUUAUGUCAUAUACAACUCAGUUGUUCACUCGAGAGUCAAGUCAUUGAAGGUCAGAAAAUGGACAAGGGUAUUUUCCACAUCAAAGAGAAGAUCAAAGAUGACCCAAAGACUCAGUUUUGGGUUGAUGAGAAGGGGGUACUGUGGUUUCAACAGCGGUUAGUGGUCCCGAAAGAUCGGGAGUUGAAGAAUCGCAUCAUGGAUGAAGCCCAUCUCUCUAAGCUUUCUAUUCAUCCUGGCAGCAGCAAAAUGUAUCAAGAUCUAAGGCCCCACUUUUGGUGGACCAAGAUGAAGAAAGAAAUAGCCGCUUAUGUGGCCCGUUGUGACACGUGUUGCAGAGUUAAGGCCAUCCAUAUGAAACCUGCAGGUCUGUUGCAACCGUUAUCAGUUCUGGAGUGGAAAUGGGAAGAGGUCAGUAUGGACUUUAUCACAGGCCUACCAACCACAAGGAGGGGGAAUGACUCGAUUUGGGUAAUCAUAGAUCGAUUGACCAAAUCGGCCCAUUUCAUCCCUGUGAAGACUCGUUACCGACCUCCUGAGUAUGCCGAUAUAUAUAUGGCUGAGAUUGUCAAGUUGCAUGGUAUUCCCAAGACAAUCAUAUCAGAUAGAGGACCGCAGUUCACCGCUCACUUCUGGGAGCGCAUGCAUAAAAGUUUGGGGACCAGUUUGAUAAGAAGCACAGCUUAUCAUCCCCAGACUUCAGGCCAAACUGAGAGGCUAAAUCAAGUGUUAGAAGAUAUGCUGAGGGCCUGUGUGCUAUCAUCCAAGGGAUCAUGGGAAUCGUGGUUACCUUUGGCUGAGUUCUCAUACAAUAAUAGUUAUCAAGAGAGCAUCAAGAUGGCCCCGUUCGAAGCUUUGUAUGGUCGAAAAUGUCGAACUCCGUUAAACUGGGUUGAACCUGGUGAAAGAAGAUACUAUGGUAUCGACUUUGUGAAUGAUGCCGAGAAAAAGGUGCAUAUCAUACAGCAGCAUAUGCAAGCGGCACAGUCACGACAAAAGAGUUAUGCGGACAAGAGGAGAAGGCCGCUUGAGUUCAAAGUAGGCGACUAUGUAUCUCAAGGUUACGCCAAUGAAGAAAGUUCAACGUUUCCGAGUUCGAAGCAAGCUUGCACCCAGAUAUGUGGGACCGUACCAAGUGCUAGAGAGGAAAGGCCCAGUGGCCUAUAAGAUUCAGUUACCUGAAGAGAUGAGCUCGAUCUUUCCGGUCUUCCAUGUGUCGGAACUACGGAAAUGUUUGAAAGUGCCUGAGCAAAGAAUUGAACCUCGAGGGAUCAAAAUAAAAGCAGACUUAGAGUAUAAAGAGCAGCCAGUGGGAAUUGUGGAUACCAAGGAGCGAGUAACCCGAAACAAAGUUGUCAGAACGUACAAAGUGGUGUGGAGUCAUCAUGACGAUAGGGAUGCCACUUGGGAAACAGAGGAUUACUUAAAAACAGUUUAUCCAAAAUUUCAUAAGAAAUGGUUAGUAACCCAAAAUCUCGGGACGAGAUUUCCCUAAGGGGGGAAGGGCUGUAACACCCUAGGUGUUAAGCAUGCACUUAGUCUCAUCAAGGUCAUGCAUAAGCAUUUCCAUCAAGCAUAAGCAUCAUGAGCAUGACACUCUUUUCAAAUUAUGAUUUUAUGUGCUUCAUUUCAUGUGCUUUAAUUAUGUUAAAAAUGUGAUGCUUGUUUCUAAAAUUGUGAAAUAUUCAAAUUAGGUUGCUUUAUGUGUAAGAAGAAUUAAGAAUAUUUUUGUGCAAUUUUUGGAGCUAUGGAAAUUGAGAAAUGGAAUUUAUACAAAAUAUCCAAAAUAACUUUAUUUAAAAACCUAGAACUAAGUUUUAAUUUGUAAUUCAAAUUCUAUUUAGAAUUUGGUCUUACCUAUUAAAGCAAAGUUGUAGAGCUUUUAGUUUGGCACCACUUUGCUUUUGGGUGAAGAUGGUGAACAUAAUUUGAAAAUGGUCAAAAUGAAUUUAUGAGAGAAUUUGAGAAAAGAAAUUCAAAAAAAAAAUAGAAAAGGGAAAGGGGGCGCUAGCAGGCCGCGGCCUCGCUCCUGGCCCGCUGGCCGAAGCCGGCCUGGCCCGCCCGCGCCUUCCCCUUCCCCCUCCUCGCGCUCGCGCCCGCGUCCACGCGCGCGGACGGCCUCGCCGUGCCGCCGUGGCGCGCCGGCAGAGCCUGGCCGCCGCGUGGCGGGCAUGCGGCGGCGUGGAGACGCCCUGGUCGGCCACCAGGAGCCCCUGGACGCGCCCGCCGAAGCCCCCGCUCCCAUUUGCACCCUCCACCGCUCGCUCUCGCCUCUCUGCUCGCCCUCGCGCAGCGCUCACCGCUCCGCCGCACGCCAUAGCCGCCGACGGCUCGGAGCUUCCCUCCCGGCCAGCUCCGGCCCUCUCCUUCCCCUUCGCGACCACCACCGGCUCCGCCUCGUCCUUCCGCGGCUCGUGCUUGCGCUCUUCCGCGCUCGGUAAGCCUUGCGUGCCCGCUAGAGCUCACCGGAGUUAGUCAGAGCUCCGGCGACCUCUCGGCUCGCACGUUUCUCCCUCUCCUCUCUGUCUCUGCUCGCGUUCAUAGGUGCUUUGGGUCCGCCUUGACCUCGCGCACCUUUUCCCGUCACUAGCUCACGCUCUACCGCCGUGAAACGGCCGGACCACGGCGAGCAGCGCCGCCGCGUCCGCCAUUCACGAUGGCGAGGUAGUUCCGGUGCUCGUCCGGUGCCAAAGAGGGUACGGCUGGACUCGUCUCGUUCGCGCGAAGCCGUAGGUGCUCACGGUGUCGCCGGAAACCUCACCGGCGGCGAGAUUCCGGCCGAUCUUUGGCCGCGGGGUCACGGGGUGGAUGACAGGUGGGGUCCCCUGACCCGCGUGUCCCGCCUGUCAGUGACUCCGAGGGUUUGAAUCCGGGUGCGCUUAGCGUUUUGGGUGACUUUCCGUUUUAAAAGUUUUUCCAGGAAAUGAUUUAAAUGUUCAAAAAUCCAUAUCUUGAUGAAUAUAGCUCCAAAAAUGGUGAAAUAAAUUUUGGUGUGUUCCUUAUUUCCAGAUCUAUAGCCUAAUAUGAUUGCAUGUCAUGUUUGAGUAACUUUCCUGUAAGAAUAUAAUUAAUCCAUGUUUUUCCUAAACUUGGAAAAUGCAUAGUAAAUAAAAUAGGGUUCAGAAAAAUGUAAAACUUGUUUUGCUGGCUCUGCAUGUGUGUUUAACCACUGAGAAAAUAUUGUUACAUAUUAUUUGGUGUAUAAAUGAAUUUAUGGUAAUUUAAAUGCUUGCAUGGCAGUGCUUUAUGAUUUUUAAUAAUUAAAUGGGUCAUGCAAUAAAUCUGGAAAAUUUUGUGGGUGUUUCUUAUGAUAUUAGAUGAAUUGUAAAAAUAUGAAAUCUGUUGUUUGACACUUAUAUCACAGUAGGGUGAUUAUACUUGCCUUAUCCAUUAAUCUUGUGAUUUUUGUGGCUCAAAAUAAGUAACCAAAAAUUAUGAAAAAUUUACAGUAGACUUUAUGAUUAGCUAGUAGUCUCCUGUAAUUUUUCUGGAAUUUAUUGAUGAACAGAAUUGCAUGUGAUUUUUAAUGGGCUUAGAAAUGAAUAAAGAAAAUUAUGAAUGGUUGUGUAUGUAGGUUGAAUGGACUAAGUUGGGUUUGGUGUAUCUUUGAAGCAUCAUGUAGGUUGCUGAUUUCAUUUGAAAAAUAUUUGUAGAAGAGAAUGCAAUAGAUGCUUAAUCCAAGUGCCUGUUCUUGGAUGAUGUUGCAUACAUUGUAAUGAACAUGACCAAGUGUAUCAUCCAUGCAUCAUGUCAUGGUCCUUUGGUACUUUCUCAUACAAGCAUCCACUCGGGCAUCUCGCACUCCACUCAUGAGCAUAUAUGCAUCAUACAGGCUCGCAGGAGAACGAAGUGGGACCCGAGGAACCCGAGGAGAUACAGGAGCAGGAACCUCCGGAAACACAGGAAACCGGAGAGGAAUUGCAAGAGUGUCCGGAUCACCGACCCAGCACCUUUGAGAAAGGCAAGCCCUGGAGCAUUCUAAGUCUCCCUAUUCUCGCUAACUUAUAUAAAGUGCUAUACUUGUUCUACUGUAUUGCAUAUUAAGUGAUAGGAGUUGCCUGAUACCGUUGCUGCAUGCGUACUCCUUGUUAUUCCUACUCAUUCAACUACCUUGUCCUAUGUAGAUAGGCACGGAGUCUAUGCUUAGCUUGCUUAGUUCGGUAGAAGUCGGGUGAUUUCCUGUCACCUGCGAGAUAUAGGUGGAUACCUGCUUGAUUGAGCAUUGGUUGCUCGGGGAAAAGAAUAACCAAGUGUGGAAUGAAUUUGGAGACCGGGCAGAGACUUAUGGUGGGUUGACCAUAUUGCCCCUGCCUGUGUCAAUUAAGGACCGAUCGUUGACGGCCCUCUUGUCAUGUUGAACGCAUGCCCCACAUUUAGCUGGAAGGAUAAGUCGUUCCGACCGCGAAGCCUGAGCACUAUCCGGGCCGGGAAUCGGCCCGAUGUACGCGCUGUAUUGGUGAUGGUUGAGGAGAACGACGAGGGCGCGGCGCGAAACCUUGGUAUACCUUGGAUACCUCGGUCGCCGGAACGGUCCUCGGGUACGGGCGGUGCCUGUCGAACCCGCGAAUUGGUCCUGGAUAGUGCAACACGGUGACCUGUAGCUCACUUGAUCAGUGAGUGUGGUUUGUGUGGGGAAUAAACUCGCCAGCUGGUUAGAAAUCGAUUCGAAUCGCCAUCGCUCCUGGAUAGUGAGCACUUGACAUGAGCCCUGUCCUCGUAGUAAGGACUAUGGAACACUUGGGUUAUAAGGAUGAAUAGUUUUAAGAAAUGCUAUGAUGAGGUACUAUCAUAGUCUCAUACUUGCUUGUAAUAGUGCAGGUGCAAACCUAGAUAAUAGGUAAUGAUACUUUCAACUUGAGCAAAUUAAAAGAAGAAAAGAUUUAUGUAAGUUAGGUUAAUAAAACCUUGCGGUCUUUGCAAAAUGGUUGUCAGCUACCCCACUAAAUAGCCUUCAUGAUCCUUGAUGAGUCUUUAUUUUAAGUUUAUGACGGGUAAGUCUAGCUGAGUACCUUCUCGUACUCAGGGUUCUAUUCCCAUGUUGUUUUGCAGAUGGUCAAAUGGACUAUGGUUAUUGCAUCCUCUGUCUAUACCCAGCUAUGGGUGAUGACUAGACCAUGGGCGAUGGCCACUCCGUCUCUUCUUUUGCUUUUGUGGGAAUGACCGAACUAUGGCACUGUAUCAGACUUAUCGUGUGUGUUGUAAUCUCAAACUAUGAAGCUUCCGCUACUUGAAGAACUUGGUUUGUAAUAACUUUAAGCACUCCGAUGUAUUUUAUGAAUGUUGUAAUCUGGAUGUACUUGUGGAUGGCGACCGCUAAACUUAUUACGAUCUUGGCUGUUAUGUGAUGUGUGGUUUGAAAUCCAUCGAGAUUUCAUGGACUACCGGGAUUAUAUGGGCUUAAGCGUGAUAGUUCGACUAUGCAAAUGGUCACUAUUAGGCUUAAUCUCUUAUAAUUUGGUCGGUUCUGUUACAUCCCCGACCCCAAGCAUCAUGUCGGGAGCUUUGAGCUGGCGGAUGAGACCGAGCUCGUCUUCCUCGACCCCGGGACCUCUGAGGGCACGACGUUGAGGAUCCGCUCGAGCCUCGACCACAAAUAGGAAGCAGUGCUCGUCGACUUUCUCCAUGCAAAUGCCGACAUAUUUGCGUGGAGUCCCUCGGACAUGCCUGACAUACCGAGGGAAGUCGCCGAGCACUCUUUGGACAUCCGAGCCGGCUCCAAGCCCGUGAAGCAGCGCCUGCACCGUUUCGAUGAGGAGAAGCGCCGGGCCAUCGGGGAGGAGAUCCACAAGCUGCUGACGGCUGAAUUCAUCAAGGAGGUAUUCCAUCCCGAGUGGUUUGCUAACCCUGUACUAGUUAAGAAGAAAAAUGGGAAGUGGAGGAUGUGUGUAGACUAUACUAGUUUAAAUAAAGCAUGUCCUAAGAAUCCCUUUCCAUUACCUCGUAUCGAUCAAAUAGUUGACUCCAUUGCGGGAUGUGAAAUUUUAUCUUUUCUUGAUGCUUAUUCCGGCUACCACCAAAUCAAGAUGAAAGAGUCCGACCAGCUCGCGACCUCUUUCAUCACCCCUUUUGGAAUGUUUUGCUACGUAACCAUGCCUUCCGGUCUUAAGAACGCAGGGGCUACAUACCAGCGAUGUAUGCUCCAGGUCUUUGGGGACCUCAUAGGCAAAACGGUAGAGGCUUACGUAGACGACAUCGUUGUCAAAUCCAGGAAGGCAAGCGGCCUGGUGGCCGACCUGGAAGAAACAUUCCGAUGCCUCAGGGCAAAAGGGAUCAAACUCAACCCCGAAAAAUGCGUGUUUGGAGUCCCCCGAGGCAUGCUCCUCGGGUUCAUUGUGUCUGAGCGAGGGAUCGAGGCCAAUCCUGAAAAGGUCUUGACCAUCGCAAACAUGGGCCCAAUUCGUAACCUAAAGGGAGUACAGAGAGUCAUGGGAUGCCUAGCUUCCCUCAGUCGCUUCAUCUCUCGCCUCGGGGAGAAAGGACUGCCUCUGUAUAGGUUGCUUAGAAAGUCCGAGCACUUUUCCUAGACCCCGAGGCCCAGGAAGCCCUUGACAAGCUUAAGGCUCUGCUCACUAAUCCUCCCAUUCUGGUACCUCCCGCCAAGAGGGAACCGUUGCUCCUCUAUGUCGCAGCCACCGAUCAGGUGGCGCAGCCUUGCCGGUCCAAAGACCGGUGUACUUCAUCAGUGAAGUACUAUCCGACACAAAGACCCGAUACCCCCAAAUCCAAAAGCUACUCUAUGCGGUAGUCCUAGCCCGACGCAAACUUCGUCAUUACUUUGAGUCUCAUCCGGUCUUGGUAGUGUCAUCUUUCCCUCUGGGGGAGGUGAUUCAGAACCGAGAGGCUAAUGGUAGGAUUGCUAAAUGGGCUACAGAGCUUAUGGGUGACGGGAUCACUUAUGAGCCUCGCAAAGCUAUAAAAUCCCAAGUCCUAGAGGAUUUUGUAGCAGAGUGGACAGGGACAUAGCUCCCCCCACCUUAGAUCCAGCAUGAGUGCUGGACCAUGUACUUCGACGGGUCCUUGAUGAAAACCAGGGCCAGCGCUGGCGUUGUCUUCAUCUCGCCCCUCGGGGUAAGGAUGCGAUACGCAAUCCGACUCCACUUCCCUGCCUCAAACAACGCACCGGAAUAUGAGGCCCGUGUCAAUGGUCUCCAUAUCGCGCUCGAGCUCGGGAUCAAGCGGCUCGAUGUCCGAGGCGACUCCAGACUCAUCAUUGACCAAGUCAUGAAAGAGUCCAGCUGCCACGACCCCAAGAUGGACGCGUACUGCAAAGCAGUCCGGCGCCUGGAGGAAAAGUUCGACGGCCUCGAAUUUAACCACAUGUUAAGGAAAUAUAAUGAGGCCGCCGAUGCACUCGCCAAGAUGGCAUCCGAACGGGCCACGGUCCCCCGGGAUGUUUUCGUCAGCGACCUCUACAAGCCUUCUGUCGACCACAAAGACGACGGGGGCUCGGAUCAACCCCCAGGCGACUUAGGCCCCAACCCCAAGGUCUCCACCACUCAGGAAUAGGAGGCCAUGGACAUUGAGUCCGAGCCCCCUGCGCCGAUGACUCGCCAGACUGGCGCUACCCCUUGCUGCAACGCCUUGCCGACGGCACUUUGCCCUCGGACCAGGCUGAGGCACGGCAUGUGGCUCGUCGCGCCAAGACUUUCGUCCUUCUCGACAGAGAGAUGUACAAGCGCAGCCCCUUGAGUGUCCUUAUGCACUGCAUCCCACUGUUGUGUAUUUUAAACGCAAACAGAAAAAUCCGCAAGCGCACGGAUACCGAUGUAGCCUUCACCCGGGAGUAUUCCAGAGUAUCGAUUUUCCACAGGGAACGUGAGUGUACUAAUUAAGAUCCAAGAUCGCCCAAGGAUAACUAUAUGAUUAUUUUUGGUGGGAAGAGAGGAAGUUUCCUGAGAGUUCUCUAGUUGAUCUAAGAAUCAAGAAUUACUUCAAGAUUAUCUAUAUCGGGACAUCAGAACACUAACCACAGAAAGAGAUGAGAAGGGGGCUAGGAAGCUCCGACUACGGUCCUACAAACACCGAUCCGAAUGAGGUGGAAUACGUCGACCGAUAGGGCUGUCACUACCCUAGGGCUACCACAACAAUCUGCAGGAUUGGGUGCAAUUCCAGGUAAUUGCAAGACUAAACACCACGUCUAAUCUAUUAAUUACUACUCUAAUGCUUCAAAGAUUAGAGCACUUGAUGCAAGCGGGAAUCCAAUAAAUAACUUGAAUGUAAAUAAAAGUAAUUAGAGAACUCAGGAAUUAUGAAUUGAAGAACCUGGAGAACGAUGAAGAACGAACCAGAUGCUGCAAAAGUACAAUGUUGAGGAAGAUCUUACAGAUCCGGCUCCUCCUCCGCUCUCCUCUUCUCUCUCCCGAUUUUCUAGAUUACAACUAGAACUAACUAGAACUAGAACUAGAGGAACUAGAACUAGAACUAAAUGAACUAGAACUAGAUCUAGAUGAACUAGAGGUAGAACUAGAAGAACUAGAGGGAUCCUCUCUACUUGGAUGAAGAAUUGAAACCCUAGCUUUGAUUCUGUAGAAGAGGUAUGAUCUCCAGGGGCCAGGGGGUCUGGUUUUAUAGUCCCUUCAUGUGAAUCUGGGCCGUCGGAUCAAACCGACAUUGAUCGUGUGGUUUUCCUUGAAGUAUUAGGUUGGUGGAGCAUGAUCCCCGAGCUUCACCCUGAUUGGUCCAGGGGGGAGGGCGGGCGCCCAGUAAGGGAGGGCGGGCGCCCAGUGCCCGGCCCCGUCACGUCUCUCGUUCGCUCCCGUGGCUUCUGGACUCUUCUAGAUGGUAGAUAAUUACGCGUCAAGUUAAUAUCUCUAUGUAAACUCGACGUGUGGGCCUUUCUUCCAUAUUUCCUGAUAACCCCUGCAGAAAUAGACAAACACCAAAACUCGUAGAAUUCUAUCAGUUAAAACCCUAAGUCUAGGUGUUGGUUGCAUAUAAGUCCUUUUCCAUGAUUAGUUGAUGGUUAAAUGUGAGCAUUAAGGACCAUCAACAAGCUCCCCCAAGCUUAACCUUUGCUCGUCCCUGAGCAAGGAUGAACUCAUGAGUUUCUGCAGUGGUUUCAUGCCUUAAAGGUACAUAUGCGUGCAAACAAGAUCUCAUCUCUGGGUUAGGGUAAACUGUUAAGAUUUAAACUUACUCAUUUUACCUUCCACCAUGGGGCUUGUAACCGUCACCUGUGUCUUGAGCAGUUAAAAGAUAGAACGGUCUAAUCAAGCGCCAUGUCUCAUGUUCUUGAUCAACUAUAGCUCUAGAGUUUUUGCAGAUUUUCAAAUAAAACUUAGAGAUUCCUUGUAUGACUCUCUCAGGUCUCUCUUUUGUGGUAUUUCUGGAUCCUUACCAAGGCAGUAAUGGUAUAUGCCUUCUCUCAAAGUAUAUGGUAUUUGUGGUAUAAGGCAUAGUGGCAUUGCCUUCUCUCUCACCCUACUCUAAUAAGGCUUUUGAUAUCUAGAGCUCAUAGGUGGGAGAUACUUAUAAGACAUUUAUUGCAUAGUCAAACCAUGGAUCUAGAAGAACAAGUCAAUAAGUCAAAUCAAGAUGUGCAUGUGUGGAGAAUGAAUGAUGUAUGGUGAUGAUGGUAAUAACAAUGGUGAAAGUCUAAUUCUACUUUUGCUCUUUUGAGGGGAUACAUACCUUUCUUGCACUUUUGAGGCUUUUUUAGGAUAAUGAGAUGCUCUAUAUUUUCUUCUCCUUUUUUCAGGUGGGUAUCUUGUACCCCUAAUUCUACUGUCGGACACUUGUCCAUUUUUACCUCUCGUCUCACUUUUUUUUCUUUCGAGGUUCCGGGCACUUGCCCCUUUUUAUUUCCUCGUAUUAUUUUUUCUUUUUUUAGAGCACUCAUCUCAUGAGAUAAUAUAGCAAGUGGUAGUAACAAGAUAACUUGAGCAUUUAUUUCACAGGGAAAAACAGAAAUAUUUUUUGGCUAUUCUCUCCCGGAUUAGGAGUAGAAUAUUUUUAGGUGAUUCUGGAGAUGGAAAUGGGUGGAUAUAUGUGGAUGCGUACUUCCGGAGUAGAAGCAGCAUGUGUGAGUGAACGUGCAAGUGAAUCUUGACUUAACCACAUGACAAGCUCCUAAGGGUCUACACAGCUUGACCACACUCAAUGCUCAUAAGCAGUAAAAAGUAAAUGUGUGGAUCAAAGUCUAGCAAGCAUGUAUAUAUGGCUGUGGUAGGAAUUUAAACUCUCAUCAUACAGGAACUCAUCAUGCAACAUUUUAAAGAUUUUCAAAAAUAAAAUUCUCCAGAAUUCUAGCAUCUCUAGGAACAGAUAAACAACAGCUCAACCUUCCCAUAUCGUAUCCGUUAACGACUUAGACUUCAGAUCAAGUACUCUUUCCACAAGUUCAGGUUUAGAGCAAAUCUUAAUUAAUAACAGUUAUGCCUAAACUUGAGAGAGAUUUCAAAUUUAGGAACUAGUCAUGGCAGAGCAACUAUUCAUCAUACCAUGUGAGAACUUAUCAUGAGGUGUCAUAGAAAAUUUUAUUUAUUUAUUUAGCAAACUAAGCAAAGAUAUAUAUAUAAGCAGAAAAUCUUUAUUUGGGUUUAUAUGAUUAUGCAUCUUUUUAUUAUUAGAGUAAAGUAUAAACGUGAGUAGAACACUUAGCUGGAUAAAUGUGGGUGCUCUCCCCCAAGAUGAAUUUUUACGUAAUUCCUUCUGAUGUAGCUAGCAGGUGGCGGAGGUGUAUUUGAAUGUCGGUAGCACCCUGACAGUGAUUAGGAUGUCCUCCGUCUGCUAGUCUUCUUUGAUCCUUGAAUUCUGUGGAGCUCAAAUAGACAACAAAGCUUUGUGGAACUGGUUAAGUGUUAGCAUAAAUAUCUAGCCUUUAUCAUGUUGAGCCUCCUCAAUAAAUAUUACACUCUUUAGUAGGAUCAUAAAUUUAUUUUUAUAAUUUUAUCUUUAUAGGACAGGAAUAUAUUUAUUUCAAUUUUAUGCCACCACAGUGAAUGUACUUAUGGGUUUUAUGCCAUGAGCAUACUCACAUGGGGCUUACUAUUUUUAAGAUUUUUAUUUUCUUUUCAAGAUGAUAUGAACUGAUUAACUAAAAUAAUUGAAAGGAAAAAGAUAACUACCAAGUUUACCUCUUGGCAAGGCGUUCGGUGUUUUUACGUCCUCCGAACGGGACUCUCCGUUUUCUCAGUCGUCCUGGAAUUCGCUGGAUGGCGUAGUCGGUGGUUCCGGUGGCGCCUCCUCUUCGUGUAUAACAUUCUUCUUUCUACACACCUAACUCGGUGCUACGAUCUUCUCAGGACAGUUCUAUUCAAGCUGUAAGUCUUCAGACCUUACUACUUCUCCUUCGUAGUCUGCCCAUCCGUCCUUGAUGAUUUGUCUCCUCUGGUUACGGCUGCGUCGUCUUCUUCUUGUCCAGACCUGCUUAGAGUCUUCAACUAUAUAGUUAGGGUCAGUAAAAUAGCAGCGUACCUUCUCAGAGGUGAAGUGCAUGUGGACUUCUCUGGUUCCAAUGUAGAUGAUUGCUUUAACAGUGCUGAGGAACGGUCUUCCAAGGAUGAUGGGUGGAUCGUACUUGUCUUCUCCCAUGUCAAUAACCUUAAAAUCAUCUGAAGCUGAAUGUAUGUUGGUUGUAGGGACAUGGUUCCAUGCAGGAGCUGAUAGUGACAGCGGCCAUUAUGUUGACGUCAGAUCCGGUGUCGUAGAGUGUCUUCUGAAAAGAAUAUCCGUUGAUUGUGCACUCGAUGCUUGGAACACCAGGGUCGUCCUUCUUGAUCAAGAAAGGUGACUUGAGUUGACGAUGUUGACCUCCUUGAGCUGCAGUGACCAUCUUAGCUGACUCGGUACACAUUUGCUUGUUCCUGUUCCUCCUGUUGAUCCUCUUCCUUGGUUCAUGUCGGGAUUGCUUUG
This 43963-nucleotide long non-coding RNA is filed under the name Sorghum bicolor (sorghum). RNAcentral describes it as "long non-coding RNA (SBIC_LNC016154)". Lineage: Eukaryota; Viridiplantae; Streptophyta; Magnoliopsida; Poales; Poaceae. The record is from RNAcentral.